GUGAUGGCACAGCAUCACUCAUGGGGAAGGUUCAUUCCGUCAAGUCUGCUGGGAAUGCGGGGCCAACAGGCCCAGGGCCUGGCACAUCAACAGAUAUCUUUUGUCAACUUAUCUCUCCUCCAAAAGGAUGAAUCUGGACUUUCCAACCCUUGGAUGACACCUUCACAUGCAGCCCACAAGGCCUCUGCUGAAUGUCACUUGCAGCCUAACGAGAAAGCCAUUCCUGGCACUAGAUAAUCGAUGGUCGUGGUUUGUUUUCAAAGCUCCUGGUAAAUUAGGUCUCCUGGAAGGCACCUUCCCCGAACCUUCCCCCACUGUAUUUAUGCUUAAUUCUUUUCAUUUUUCAUUGCUUCCCCAAAUUAAAUUUAUGUGUGCACUUGGCAAAUUGUUGCCAUUAGUGUAAACAUUCACUACAAGACAUUCCCCAAGUUCUGGUGCCUAGAGAUAUCGUAGUAAAAUGAAUUGUUCUCCCC
This 473-nucleotide long non-coding RNA is filed under the name Homo sapiens (human). RNAcentral's name for it is "HSALNT0143823". The record is from RNAcentral. Lineage: Eukaryota; Metazoa; Chordata; Mammalia; Primates; Hominidae.